AUCGCGUAAAGACAAUUUGAUGUUAUCAUCUAAAAAAAUCAUAGAUUGAUAUUAUUCUUUAACUCUUUUGGAUUUUCCCAAUGUAUCCCCCAAUUUGACUCUUGGUGGGAAAGCUUAUGGAAGCUUUUUGGAUUUUUGUAAUGAUAUAAAAGUGGAAGAAUAUUAAAUAAAUUUAACAUUACACCAGAUUGGAUAGACGGGCACGGCUUCAGUCAAGAAGGGAGCGGUGGCCACGAAAAGCUUGCCUCGUCACCACUACGAAGUAACGCUUCGCUAAGGACUUCCGACUUGCUGUAUUGAAUACUAAUUUUAUGAACUGCACUAAUAUUAUAAUAGAAUCCAAUAUGUACAAGAAAAGCGGCCUGCAUAAACGGGCGAUGCGAUUAUACGAGACGGUUUUUACGUUCACCGACGCUCAUUACGUACACCAUUUCCUCCCGCGCUUUCUUCAAGAAAAUUAAAGACUCGCCGCAUUAAUUCUAUCCGUGUGUCCCGAUGUUUUUGUGACGGUGGCGUUAUGGCCGCCCGCGAUCGGUUUUUGCAACCGCCGCCAGCCGCUUCCCAGACUCCGUCCGCCAGACAAAAACCAGACAAGCGACAAAGCGGGAAUCUACACAAAAACACUAAGCCGCGCUCAAUAACUGCUGAUGUCCAUGAAAUACUACGAGUUCGUUCUUUUUACCUAUCGUCGGCUUUUUCCUUGUGUAAUUUGCAUUAGACGGCGGCCAUUUUGCAGUUUUUCGCGCGCUCUCGCACGAUUUCGUUCCGAAAUUAUGAUAACCAUUCCUGAAAUUGUGUGUGUUGUAAAAAGUUGAAAUGUAUUCUCCUUAGUCUUUGGAGAUUAUAUUAGUAUUUUAUCCGUUUUUAGAUCUGUUUUGUCCGAUUUAUAUACAGAGCAAGCAGUUAUCAAGAAAUCCUUUUGUUUUGUACUAUUGUAAUAAUUAAAAACAGAUUCAACCCACGAAAA
Long non-coding RNA from Bombyx mori (domestic silkworm), 967 nucleotides. RefSeq lists it as uncharacterized. The record is from RefSeq and is a predicted model, not a curated record. NCBI's taxonomy places the organism in Eukaryota, Metazoa, Arthropoda, Insecta, Lepidoptera, Bombycidae. The transcript has 3 exons.